AGCAGAGUGGCGCAGUGGAAGCGUGCUGGGCUCAUAACCCAGAGAUCCCUGGAUCGAAACCAUGCCCUACCA
This 72-nucleotide transfer RNA is filed under the name Dryococelus australis. Its description in RNAcentral is "tRNA-OTHER". It matches the Rfam family "tRNA". From Rfam's summary of the family: Transfer RNA (tRNA) molecules are approximately 80 nucleotides in length. Lineage: Eukaryota; Metazoa; Arthropoda; Insecta; Phasmatodea; Phasmatidae. The record is from RNAcentral.